Molecule: long non-coding RNA, 1968 nt
Filed under: Homo sapiens (human)
Lineage: Eukaryota; Metazoa; Chordata; Mammalia; Primates; Hominidae
Description: small nucleolar RNA host gene 1
Rfam family: Small nucleolar RNA SNORD28 (bases 922-996)
Source: RNAcentral
CUUUGUCUUUUUCUUUUAUUUUCUUUUGAGCGAUUGUGCGAACAUAGCAUAGCACGCACUAUGCCUUCUGUGUUGUAGCUGCCUGGCCAGGGCGACUGGCGGAUAAGGUCUUGUGCGUGGCCUCGAGGCUUAAAAGUAGCAGUGGGGCUUUGUGAAGGACAAAAUGGCGAUGGCGGGCCGUGUAGGUCCCCCUUCCUAUGAUGAGGACCUUUUCACAGACCUGUACUGAGCUCCGUGAGGAUAAAUAACUCUGAGGAGAUGGGCCCUGCAAGCCUCUUGCUUAGCCGUCUGUUCAGAAAAUAGCGUUUUCGAAAUGCCCUGAGUUGACCUAAUGUCUUAUUGGGCUCCUGUCUGCAGGAUUUACGCGCACGUUGGAACCGAAGAGAGCUCUGUUGUUGCAAUGUUCAGCCCACAAGAGCUUACUGGUGAAGGAAUGGGACAAGACCCAUCUUUAUGCAAAGCCAGCGUUACAGUAAUGUUCCAGGUAGGUGUACAUGGUUUAUGCUCUUACAGAGGAGACCUUGUAGAUAACCACUCCAUGAUGAACACAAAAUGACAAGCAUAUGGCUGAACUUUCAAGUGAUGUCAUCUUACUACUGAGAAGUGAGAGAGAGGUCUUAAGGGGUCUUUGAAUGACUAUUUUUAGGUACAUAAAAUGCUUUCCUCUGUUGUCUACAGCAUCUCAUAAUCUAUCCUGGGGAAUUCAGCUGCCUCCCAGGGUGAAUACAGGUAAUUAUCCAAAUUGGUGUAUGUCAUCUUUGUAAAUGUUCAAGAAAACAAGUGGCCGGCGGAACAAUGUUUUUUGGCGCCUUCCAUCUUGUUCCUCUUGAAAUGAUUUUCUGGGGAGGGAGAUCGCAACCCGGUACUACAGUUCUUGUAAGGGUGUGCUGUUACCCUCAUCCAUAUAUCGAUCACGUUACUGUCAGAUGAUUUGAAUUGAUAAGCUGAUGUUCUGUGAGGUACAAAAGUUAAUAGCAUGUUAGAGUUCUGAUGGCAGUUGUUGUUUAUGAAUAAGCUUCAUUCCAUCCUAAUACCUUAAAAUAACUAAUUUGCUUUCCUUUCCAGGUAUUCCUGAUGACAGUCUGCCUCUAUCUUACAGAGCAGCUUGUUGCUAUAUACCAUUGAAAAGCCUUCAGAGCUGAGAGGUACUACUAACCAAUAACCUGCUUGGCUCAAAGGGCCAGCACCUUCUCUCUAAAGCCCAAGAGGAGUUUGAGGAAAACUAGGUGUCUGUGUUCACUCCAGGCUGAAGUUACAGGUCUGAGCAAAUAAGGUGUAUAAAAAAUGGAAUCUGUCUUGGAGGACAUCAGAAGGUGAAUUUUCCAAGUUCUUGGACAACCUAGCUGUUGAAAAGCUUUCUGGGUUUGGGGGGUAUUUCAGAUGUACCUUAAAGUGUUAGCAGACACAGAUUAAGACACUGGGAGCCAAUGAAACAGCAGUUGAGGGUUUGCUGUGUAUCACAUUUCUGUAUUUUAUCACCCCCUUCCUGCAACAUUAUUUAUCUGGAAUCUACCUGCCCUUUUGUUUUUUAGAUACAAGGGCUUGGUUUUGUUACCCAGGCUGGUUUCAAGGCCAUAGCUUUAAGAGAUCCUCUCACCACAGAUUUCCAAAGUGCUGGGAUUGCAGGUGUGAUUCAUGGCACCCAGACUUUGCUGCCUUUCUUACAUGAUCCAGGCCCAGAACCCAAACUCAGGCACUGUAUAGAUGACCACUUUCGUAAACUACUGACCUAGCUUGUUGCCAAUUGUUGAUUGAACUUCCCAUAACUCCACUUCGUGUCUGUUCCUCUGUAUACAGCCACCUUCUGUUCCCGUCAUGAGCCUUUAGGUCUCCAUUUGCAUAUUGCAAAUACUAUGUUCCAUGUAGGUAGCUCAUUCAGGGCCUUGCUCUUCACUUCAAAAAAGGUUCCCUUGAGGACUGGCUGUCAAUUUGUGUUGCUGUGUUGGUUGUUGAUGAAAAUAAUAAAAU